Molecule: ribosomal RNA, 388 nt
Filed under: uncultured bacterium
Lineage: Bacteria
Description: bacterial SSU rRNA
Rfam family: Bacterial small subunit ribosomal RNA
Source: RNAcentral
GACGAACGCUGGCGGCGUGCUUAACACAUGCAAGUCGAGCGGUAAGGCCCCUUUCGGGGGUACACGAGCGGCGAACGGGUGAGUAACACGUGGGUGACCUGCCCUCAGCUCUGGGAUAAGCCUGGGAAACCGGGUCUAAUACUGGAUAUGACUCCAUGACGCAUGUUGUGGGGUGGAAAGCCUUGCGCGGCUGAGGAUGGGCCCGCGGCCUAUCAGCUUGUUGGUGGGGUGAGGCCUACCAAGGCGACGACGGGUAGCCGGCCUGAGAGGGCGACCGGCCACACUGGGACUGAGACACGGCCCAGACUCCUACGGGAGGCAGCAGUGGGGAAUCUUGCGCAAUGGGCGAAAGCCUGACGCAGCGACGCCGCGUGAGGGAUGACGGCCU